UCACUUCUAUCCCACAUCAAUCACAGGGUGA
Molecule: non-coding RNA, 31 nt
Filed under: Homo sapiens (human)
Lineage: Eukaryota; Metazoa; Chordata; Mammalia; Primates; Hominidae
Source: RNAcentral